This is a long non-coding RNA of Ictalurus punctatus (channel catfish), 3712 nucleotides long. NCBI's taxonomy places the organism in Eukaryota, Metazoa, Chordata, Actinopteri, Siluriformes, Ictaluridae. The record is from Ensembl.
CACACACACACACACACACACACACACACAGUGCGAGCAUAGUGAUAUUGUGAUUUAAACUCACAACCUUUCAGUCAGUCUCCCAGUGCCUUGGUCACUAAUCGACUAGUGCUAGGGAGUUGAUUGGAAUUAACCCUACAACUAGAGCUAAUUUGGGGUUUAAUUUUGCUGUAAAUCAAGCCAAAUAUGGCUGGGUUUAAGGAUAUAAGGGCCAGUUAUGGCAAACGCAUUGUUCAAUAGUAAGUAUCCAAACAAUCCAAACAGCUUUGGGAAUGGCACAAAUGGAACAAAUUCUAACAAUUUUGGACCCAGCUUUAAACAUGCUAGCUCAUGAAUGCUGUUAAGGUGGUGAUCUGGCAGCUAAAUUGGGAUAAAUUUAUCGGUUUCAUUCCUCAAGGAUUAUGUGGGCUAGAUAAAGUGGUAAGUAUGGACCAUUGGUGGCCCAUUACUCAUUUGCUAUUAGGAAAGACUUUGGGUUGUGGCACUCCUAGGAUUCCCCAGGAUUUUAACGAUGUCAUAUAUUGAAAGGUUUUCUUUCAAAUAGUUGCUGGCAUGCUAAAAGUGUAGCAUUAUUCAAUCCAAGUAAAAGUAUAAGGUGCUAAUCUGAUAUUGUGUGAUCCACUGUGUUGAUGAUGGCCAGUGUGCCGAGCAAUGGUAAUGAUUUACUGUUCACCGAUGGUGAUUCAGAUUAAGAAAAAUCGAUUUAAGUGGUUUAAGGAUAAUUUGGUCUCGAGACUCAAGUGGAACUCAAGUGAUGUCAUCCCCAAUAUCUGAACUAUCAGGACUGACAGGUUGAAAGUGUAUCACUCCAUCUACUGCAAACCCAUGAAUAAAAAUUUGAUUUGCUCAUAUGCAUUAGCAUGUGGAACAGAUAAUUGAAUGUGUUUAGGAUUUUAUUAUAGCGCUGAAGCAGAUACAUUGGUUCGCCAGACAUAAGCAGUUAACAGUGAGUUCUCGCAUAUAUCUGUCAGCAUGUGAACUGUUGCAAUCUUUCUGUCUCCUUCUCUUUCCCUCUCGCUCUCUCUCUCACUUUCUCAGGUACUGGAUGAUGUGCUGAGCGAUGAGCUCGGGGUCGUAGGUCACUGAGCGGCGUUUGCGGCUGCUCUUUGCAGGUGGAGGCAGAUCUGUGUCGAUGCGCUUCAUCCUCUGCAGGCCAGCAUGGGGAGACCGGUUGUUCUGACCAGCAAAAUCAUCGUGGUCUUGAUCACCCACUCGCUUCACCCGCAGGAGCGAGGCCUCGGCAUCAGGGGAGGCAAUGGGGUCGGAGUCCAGAGAGCGCCUAGCUCGUCUCGGAGGCGUAGCUCUGUCACGUCCGAUGCUGGCUGCUGCUGCCACUUCCCAUUUGCCUCGGCGGUUGGAUGGGUUCAGCUGGUUCUCAGAUACCAGAUUCGAGAGGACCUUCUCCACCAGGUACCUGGGUAAAGUACCGGGAGUGAGGAUGAGGACAUAAAUGUUGGUUACAAUGCAUACGUGAGGUAAAAGUUUUAAAUUAUGUCCAUUAACAGUUGAUGUUGAUGAUAGUCAGUAUGCUCAGCAACCAAUUUGUCCUUUGAGGAUAAAUAAUAUCGAAUACAGUAUUACUAUACAGUAUCGUUCCUUCUGCUGCUGCGGAUGAGCCAACAUACAGUCGAUACUGGCCUUUCCACAAAACAGGAUAAUCUCACCUGGAUACUGUAGACCUGUACUUAAGAACUGCUGCUGUAAUCAAAACACUGUCUUGUGCUCAACCCAGGUCUCUUAUUCACAAUCUGUUCAUACUGAAAAUUCCUUUAGCACACUAUGGACUGCUUGUUUCUAGAAUAUACAGUUGCAGAAGAAUAAUGAUUUAUAAUCCCACUAUUUAGUGUCGGACGCGUUCCCUUUUGAGUCUGGUUCCCCUCAAAGUUUCUUCCUCACGUCGUCUCAGAAGGUUUUUCCCUCAUCGCUGUCGCCUCUGGUUCGUUUAUUAGAGAUCCAAAUCUACCGGAGAUUUGUAAAGCUGCUUUGUUGAGAGUGCUACAUUAAUAAAAUUGAAUUGAAUUGAAUUAUAGCCCUCUUAUACUUAUUGAUGGAAGCUGAGGUAAUCACAGGUCCAAAGGGACUACUAUCCUGGCAGCGGGAUGAAAUCGCCAUCAUGUUUACAGCAUUGCUGCUUCUCAGGUCUUUGAUGGAGAGACAAGCCAUUUGUUUCCUGUCCAACUACAGACAUUGGCCUAACUAGCAAAUAGUCAUUUGGUCAUCAUUGUGUAGCAUUUUUUUCUUCUUUCAUACUCUCCCAUACAAACUGACUAGUUGGUGGAUUAUUCACUCUGUCAUUCGGUAUGUAGCUAAGCUUUUGUCUGCCAUCUCUGUUAGUUACAGCCAGUCAGAACAUCAUAUUUAGAACCACAAAGGUGUUUUCCCACUCUGGUAGGCUAUUUUCUGACUGCCUUGUUAUCUUCUGCAAAGAUAUAGGCAUGUCAUAAACAUACAGGUGUGGUUCAAGGCCAUAAUGUCUGGCUGAACAGUUUAAUUUAUGCUUUAUUGAUCCUUUUUACAACAGAAAAUGUCACAUUUCUUCCACUAGGACUCACUUUACAGCCAAAUCACCAACCAGUCAGUCGUGAGAUACAAACUACCGACUCUGAGUGUACCAAGAGAGAGACUUGGGAGCAUGCUGUUAUGGAAAAAUAAAUCAACAACAGGGUGAUGUGAUGCAGUCCGUUUAAUGUUAGGGUUAGACUGUGUGGAGUCUCCUCCAUGCAAGUGCCGGUGAACGAGCUGUUGCUAUAGAAACAAAAACGUAUUUGAAGAUUAAAAGAUGUUAAAAGGUAUUUUUCUCACCGGAGCACCUCCUGGUCUCGGUCCUGCCCUGCUUGAAGCAUCCUCUCCUGCCUGUAGCGGUUGAGCAGAGCCUCAGUGAGCUGUGGGUCCAGCAGUGCCUGGGGUUUCGCCAUGUUCACUGUCUGCUCUGUCUCGUCAUAGUCUGGAGGGUACGAUUCCUGGAAGUCACCUUCCACCUGCUCUUCCUCUUCCUCUGGUCUCGCUUGGCCGUUUUUCUCUGCCUCGCUCAGGAGGCGCAGUAGACCUGCCAGGUAGGCCGCUUCCUGCUCCUGCCUCUGGUCGUUCUCCAGGCGAUGCAGGGCGUGGCCCAACCCCUGUGCUCUCAAGGCCUCUGGCUGGUAGUACAGAUCGUUGCCCCGCCCACUGAAGCCAGCAGGAGGGUAUGACAUCAUCUGAGCCUCGUAAGGCAGUGCAUCACGCAGGUCACGACGAAGGCGUGCAGUUCCGCCCCCAUGCAUGGCAGAGAGAGGCUGACACAGAGAGAGAGAGAGAGAGAAGUUAAUAUUAAGAAGACUUAUAUAAAAGUGACUUGUAUAAAAUUCCCCUCUCACUUCACUCCAUGACCAGGCACAAAACCACACACUCUUCGUUAUAGUAAAAAUUCUCUUAGACAUUGCAUGAUGCUUAAGAGUCUGUGUGUAGAGAUUAGUACAGUUAGUGUAUACUUGCUUACAAAGCCUCUUUCUUCUUUAACCAAUAAUACACUAAUUAACUGCUAGUACACUAACCACUAAUUAACCAAUAAUACACUAAUUCACCACUAAUGCACUAAUUAGCCACUAAUUUACUAAUACACUAACUGCUAAUACAAAAAAUAAUUGCUAAUACAUUAAUUAACUAAUAAUAUGCUAAUUAACCAAUAAUAUACAAAUGUACCACUAAUUAACCACUAAUACACAAAUUUACCACU